RNAcentral lists this ribosomal RNA (167 nucleotides) under uncultured rumen bacterium. Its description in RNAcentral is "partial 16S ribosomal RNA". It matches the Rfam family "Bacterial small subunit ribosomal RNA", at positions 340 to 524 of the family's 1533-position model. The record is from RNAcentral.
UACGGGAGGCAGCAGUGAGGAAUAUUGCACAAUGGAGGAAACUCUGAUGCAGCGACGCCGCGUGAGUGACGAAGUGUUUCGGCAUGUAAAGCUCUAUCAGCAGGGAAGAAAAUGACGGUACCUGACUAAGAAGCCCCGGCUAACUACGUGCCAGCAGCCGCGGUAAU